This 852-nucleotide long non-coding RNA is filed under the name Anser brachyrhynchus (Pink-footed goose). RNAcentral describes it as "lncRNA (ENSABRG00000022433.1)". Lineage: Eukaryota; Metazoa; Chordata; Aves; Anseriformes; Anatidae. The record is from RNAcentral.
CUGAGAUUAAACACUGCUAUGCUGUUGCUUCUAGACUUGCAUGUUUUUGCUAUCCUACCUGUGUCAAUGUUAGUGGCUUUUUGGAGUCAAAUAGGUGGGGUGUGGGACAGGAUGCCUUGCUGAUACCUGGAGCGGUGGUGUUCUGCAGGAAGGACAGGAGGAACACAGCUGCUCCAAGACAUGCUUUUGGCACAGCAAAGGUUUAUUCUGCAGCUCCUCAGUGUGACAUCUGGAAACCUACCAGGUUAAAUGGAUAGUCAGCGACAAAUGCAGGAUCUUCAAAAUACUUUCUACAGAAAGCUGUUCCUGGGGGGAGAAUUCAGUGGAAUAUGGCUAACACUGAAGGAGGUCUUAUCUUUGGUAAAAGCAAUAGUGCUAGGAUUCUUGUUCCUUUUCUGGGCAAGUGCUGGCCAUGCCAUGGACUGCAGUCUGACAACAAGCCCUUUACAAGCUCUUUGCCACGAUUCAGUGAUCAUCUUUAAUCUGUAUAAUUCUGUUAUUUUCUCUGCUUACUCCCACUUAAGAAUGGCAAUAUCUACAGGUCAUGAGUGAAGGAAAAGUUCUGGGGAGUGCUGUUCUGAUGGUACUUGUCCCAGGCAAUGUGACUUUAUAACUGGGUGCUUACAGAAGAGUAAUUUCAGUUAAUCUAAUAAUUAGCAGUUUCAAGGAAUCCAUGGGAACCAGAGCUUUCUGUUGUAUUCUGUCUUUGUGAGUGGCGAUGUUUGGAUCAGUUUACUGACAUUGCACACCCUAGUGAGCAUAUACUCUAACAUCGAAGAACAGGCUAGUGCUGUGAUACUUCAAACAGUGUGGAAAAAAGCAUUCAGCUAUUGUUUUAAAUUGUCAUUGCUG